GACGAACGCUGGCGGCGUGCUUAACACAUGCAAGUCGAACGGAAAGGCCCUGCUUUUGUGGGGUGCUCGAGUGGCGAACGGGUGAGUAACACGUGAGUAACCUGCCCUGGACUUCGGGAUAACUUCAGGAAACUGGGGCUAAUACCGGAUAGGAGCUCCUGCUGCAUGGUGGGGUUUGGAAAGUUUCGGCGGUUGGGGAUGGACUCGCGGCUUAUCAGCUUGUUGGUGGGGUAGUGGCUUACCAAGGCUUUGACGGGUAGCCGGCCUGAGAGGGUGACCGGCCACAUUGGGACUGAGAUACGGCCAAGACUCCUACGGGGGGCAGCGGUGGGGAAUAUUGAACAAUGGGCGGAAGCCUGAUGCAGCAACGCGGCGUGCGGGAUGACGGCCUUCGGGUUGUAACCCGCUUUCGCCUGUGACGAAGCGUGAGUGACGGUAAUGGGUAAAGAAGCACCGGCUAACUACGUG
This 468-nucleotide ribosomal RNA is filed under the name uncultured bacterium. RNAcentral describes it as "partial 16S ribosomal RNA". It matches the Rfam family "Bacterial small subunit ribosomal RNA", at positions 28 to 507 of the family's 1533-position model. The record is from RNAcentral.